RNAcentral lists this ribosomal RNA (166 nucleotides) under uncultured bacterium. RNAcentral describes it as "partial 16S rRNA". It matches the Rfam family "Bacterial small subunit ribosomal RNA", at positions 355 to 511 of the family's 1533-position model. The record is from RNAcentral.
UGGGGAAUAUUGGACAAUGGGCGAAAGCCUGAUCCAGCCAUGCCGCGUGUGUGAAGAAGGUCUUCGGAUUGUAAAGCACUUUAAGUUGGGAGGAAGGGCAGUAAGCUAAUACCUUGCUGUUUUUGACGUUUACCGACAGAAUAAGCACCGGCUAACUCUGUGCCAG